This 848-nucleotide ribosomal RNA is filed under the name uncultured archaeon. RNAcentral's name for it is "bacterial SSU rRNA". It matches the Rfam family "Archaeal small subunit ribosomal RNA", at positions 29 to 882 of the family's 1478-position model. The record is from RNAcentral.
GCUACUGGAGUUCGAUUAAGCCAUGCGAGUCGAGAGUCUUAGGGACUCGGCGUACCGCUCAGUAACACGUGGGUAACCUGCCCUAUGCUGGGGAAUAACCUCGGGAAACUGAGAAUAAUGCCCCAUAGUCCACAAUGCCUGGAACGGUUUGUGGAUCAAAGCUCCGGCGGCAUAGGAUGGGCCUGCGGCGUAUCAGGUUGUAGGGGGUGUAACGUACCCUCUAGCCACCAACGCGUACGGGUGUUGGGAGACAUAGCCCGGAGAUGGAUUCUGAGACACGAAUCCAGACCCUACGGGGUGCAGCAGGCGCGAAAACUUGGCAAUGCGAGAAAUCGUGACCAGGGAACUCCAAGUGGCUGGGGUAAGACCCAGUCUUUUCUUGACUCUUCAAAGGUCUUGGAAUAAGGGGUGGGUAAGGACGGUGCCAGCCGCCGCGGUAAUACCGGCGCCUCAAGUGGUAGUCGAUUUUAUUGGGCCUAAAACGUCCGUAGCCUGUUUGGUACAUUCGUGGGUAAAUCAACCAGCUCAACUGGUUGAAUUCUGCGAGCACGGCCAGACUUGGGACCGGGAGAGGUGUGGGGUACGCUCAGGGUAGGGGUAAAAUCCUGUCAUCCUGAGCGGACCACCUGUUGCGAAGGCGCCACACUAGAACGGAUCCGACGGUCAGGGACGAAGCCUAGGGGCACGAACCGGAUUAGAUACCCGGGUAGUCCUAGGUGUAAACGCUGUGGACUUGGUGUUGGGGACUCUCCGAGAUUCCUCAGUGCCGAAGCGAAGGUGAUAAGUCCACUGCCUGGGGAGUACGGUCGCAAGGCUGAAACUUAAAGGAAUUGGCGGGGGAGCACCGC